This is a long non-coding RNA of Nicotiana attenuata, 760 nucleotides long. RefSeq lists it as uncharacterized. The transcript is spliced from 3 exons. NCBI's taxonomy places the organism in Eukaryota, Viridiplantae, Streptophyta, Magnoliopsida, Solanales, Solanaceae. The record is from RefSeq and is a predicted model, not a curated record.
UCGGAAUACUGAGUAAAUUGGUCGAACAAAAUUUUACACUCUCUUUCAGGGCUUGCUUGUUUCCUUCAAGCAUUUGCUUCUUACCUGUCUCAUCCUCGCCGUAGUCAGGGUGUGAGAAUUCUUGCAGAUGUGAUUGUUAUGGGUUCUGGAAUAGUGGUAAGGGCCUUUGCUUGGGCAUGUCAUCAGGACUUGCAAAUGCCUCAAGAAUCAGUGCCGCCCAUGAAGCAAUACACAAUAUCAAUAAGCAAGCAAAAUAUCAGAGGCUAGGCAAAUUCUUGGUUCGCGGAGCAUUCAUCGUGGGAUGACAUGUUGCAGUUUUAUCUGAAGCGCAUUGCACUUGAAUUCUUCUCUUUAUCUAUAUUUUCGCCAGAGGUAUGUUUACUUAUGUAUGAGAGAGAUGCAAAGACUUGGAGUUUUCAUCUUCCACGUUCAUAGUGCCAAAGAGUCCUCAGAAACAAGUUGCCAGGGUAAAGCACAUGGUCCAAAUUAGUAAGUUAGAGUAUUAUUUUUGCUCUGCUUCUAGUAGAGGUUCUCCUGGCGUUUUAAGGAGUAUGUUUAGCAGAAGAGCAUUACUCCAGUCACCAGAUUUUUCCAGUAAAAGUUUCCGUAUGUAUCUAUUUUCAAUUUUGGAUGGUGGACGCUCUACUUCACUUUAAGUAGAAGCAAUUUAAUUAAUGAUUUGUGUAAUUUACCUUAGCUCUGGUUUUCUUUAGGCUCAAACCCCCCUUCAUUAUUGUUUCAUGUGCUUAUGGCGGUAAAA